UCAGAAUCAACGCUGGCGGCGUGCCUAACACAUGCAAGUCGAACGAGAACGGUGCCUUCGGGCGCUUAUUAGAGUGGCGAACGGGUGAGUAACGCGUGGGUGAUCUGCCCUCAAGAGGGGGAUAACUCGGGGAAACCCGGGCUAAUACCGCAUGAGCCCUACGGGGGAAAGGUCCUUCGGGAUCGUUUGAGGAGGAGCCCGCGUCCGAUUAGCUAGUUGGUGAGGUAAGAGCUUACCAAGGCGACGAUCGGUAGCCGGUCUGAGAGGACGGACGGCCACACUGGAACUGAGACACGGUCCAGACUCCUACGGGAGGCAGCAGUGGGGAAUUUUGGGCAAUGGGGGCAACCCUGACCCAGCAACGCCGCGUGGAGGAUGAAGGUUUUCGGAUCGUAAACUCCUGUCCGGAGGGACGAAGCAAGUGACGGUACCUCUGGAGGAAGCCCCGGCUAACUCCGUGCCAGCAGCCGCGGUAAUACGGGGGGGGCAAGCGUUGUUCGGAAUUACUGGGCGUAAAGGGCGCGCAGGCGGUUUUGGAAGUCAUGGGUGAAAGCCCCGGGCUCAACCCGGGAAUGGCCUGUGAAACCACGGAACUGGAGUGCUGGAGAGGGAAGCGGAAUUCCCAGUGUAGCGGUGAAAUGCGUAGAUAUUGGGAGGAACAUCGGUGGCGAAGGCGGCUUCCUGGACAGACACUGACGCUGACGCGCGAAAGCCAGGGGAGCGAACGGGAUUAGAUACCCCGGUAGUCCUGGCUGUAAACGAUGAAUACUUGGUGUGGGGGGUUAGGAAAGUCCCUCUGUGCCGUAGAGAACUC
Molecule: ribosomal RNA, 814 nt
Filed under: uncultured bacterium
Lineage: Bacteria
Description: bacterial SSU rRNA
Rfam family: Bacterial small subunit ribosomal RNA
Source: RNAcentral